UGUGUGUGCGUGUGAGACAGAGUUUCGCGU
Molecule: non-coding RNA, 30 nt
Filed under: Homo sapiens (human)
Lineage: Eukaryota; Metazoa; Chordata; Mammalia; Primates; Hominidae
Source: RNAcentral